GCGGGCUGCUGAUAAGGGCGUCUACUUGUAGAGCCUGACCUCCACUUCUAACACUGUGCACUUGAUGGCGAGGUAAUGGAACUUUCGAGUGAAACUACCUUGCGGCUUCAUUUUAAACAUUAGUCAAAGUAUGUCAUGAAAUAUAAAAACAAAAAAAAACUUUCAACAACGGAUCUCUUGGCUCUCGCAUCGAUGAAGAACGCAGCGAAAUGUGAUAAGUAAUGUGAAUUGCAGAAUUCAGUGAAUCAUCGAAUCUUUGAACGCACCUUGCGCUCCCUGGUAUUCCGGGGAGCAUGCCUGUUUGAGUGUCAUGAACUCUUCAACCCACCAGUUUCUAGUAGACUGCGUUGGUGUUUGGAUUUUGAGCGUUGCUAGUCUGACUAGCUCGUUCGUAAUAUAUUAGCAUCUCUAAUUCGAAUUCGGAUUGACUCAGUGUAAUAGACUAUUCGCUGAGGACACUUUUAUUAGUGGCCGUACUAGAACCAGUAGAAGCUUCCAACUAUUGUAGUCAACUUUAAUUUAGACCUCAGAUCAGGCAGGAUUACCCGCUGAACUUAAGCAUAUCAA
Molecule: ribosomal RNA, 567 nt
Filed under: fungal sp. TZ-2015b
Lineage: Eukaryota; Fungi
Description: eukaryotic LSU rRNA
Rfam family: 5.8S ribosomal RNA (bases 158-311)
Source: RNAcentral